RNAcentral lists this ribosomal RNA (194 nucleotides) under uncultured bacterium. RNAcentral's name for it is "partial 16S ribosomal RNA". It matches the Rfam family "Bacterial small subunit ribosomal RNA", at positions 338 to 524 of the family's 1533-position model. The record is from RNAcentral.
CCUACGGGAGGCAGCAGUGGGGAAUAUUGCACAAUGGGCGCAAGCCUGAUGCAGCCAUGCCGCGUGUAUGAAGAAGGCCUUCGGGUUGUAAAGUACUUUCAGCGAGGAGGAAGGGGUUGUGGUUAAUAACCGCAGUCAUUGACGUUACUCGCAGAAGAAGCACCGGCUAACUCCGUGCCAGCAGCCGCGGUAAU